Physeter macrocephalus (sperm whale) is the source of this 639-nucleotide long non-coding RNA. RefSeq lists it as uncharacterized. The transcript is spliced from 3 exons. NCBI's taxonomy places the organism in Eukaryota, Metazoa, Chordata, Mammalia, Artiodactyla, Physeteridae. The record is from RefSeq and is a predicted model, not a curated record.
CUCACUUUGUAGUUUGGAAUGUGAACUUUGGAAUCAGACAGAACUGGGGUGCAAACCCUGGUUCUGCCACUUAUCCCAUGAUGAGCCGUGAAACCCCUAAGCCUCUGUUUCCUCACUUGUAAAAUGGGGAUAUGAUAAUGGCAUUCCUAGCUAAUGGAGCUCUUUCAGGAAUGAGUGAGACCAUCGGAUAAAGCACUCAGCACGACAGGUAACAGAAUUCACCUUGCGCUAACUGAUGUAGCUCCUGAAGCAGCGUGGAAUCAAAAGGAAGCUCGACCCUUACUGCUUCAAAACACACUUCCUCAUCAGGACCCCACCACCGCCACCUUCUUCAGAACCCGGAUCAUGAGCGGACACCCAACGCUUGCUCCCUUUAUGGGCCUCCUUGUCUCCUCCUCCUCCACCGUGGACGCUCCGUAUUUGCUCUGGCAGCUGUGUACCUGGGGAGCAUUGGAGUCCUGCGCCGAACCAGCACAGAAUAUACUGAACCGAACCUAGCGGCUCCAGGUUUCCUUCAGCCUUCCCCCUUCCACAGUUCUGACCCCCUUGACUCUUUACAGCCACUAAUCAACGCCAACUGUUUGAAGAUGCAGGACAGAAGACAUUCUGAAGGCUGCUGCUUCCUUAUACCUCCCUGAG